Molecule: ribosomal RNA, 165 nt
Filed under: uncultured bacterium
Lineage: Bacteria
Description: partial 16S rRNA
Rfam family: Bacterial small subunit ribosomal RNA
Source: RNAcentral
UAGGGAAUCUUCCACAAUGGGCGAAAGCCUGAUGGAGCAACGCCGCGUGUGUGAUGAAGGGUUCCGGCUCGUAAAACACUGUUGUAAGAGAAGAAUGACAUUGAGAGUAACUGUUCACCCCUUGACGGUAUCUAACCAGAAAGCCAACGGCUAACUACGUGCCAG